GAUGAACGCUGACGGCGUGCCUAAUACAUGCCAGUCGAGCGAACGGACGAGAAGCUUGCUUCUCUGAUGUUAGCGGCGGACGGGUGAGUAACACGUGGAUAACCUACCUAUAAGACUGGGAUAACUUCGGGAAACCGGAGCUAAUACCGGAUAAUAUUUUGAACCACAUGGUUCAAAAGUGAAAGACGGUCUUGCUGUCACUUAUAGAUGGAUCCGCGCUGCAUUAGCUAGUUGGUAAGGUAACGGCUUACCAAGGCAACGAUGCAUAGCCGACCUGAGAGGGUGAUCGGCCACACUGGAACUGAGACACGGUCCAGACUCCUACGGGAGGCAGCAGUAGGGAAUCUUCCGCAAUGGGCGAAAGCCUGACGGAGCAACGCCGCGUGAGUGAUGAAGGUCUUCGGAUCGUAAAACUCUGUUAUUAGGGAAGAACAUAUGUGUAAGUAACUGUGCACAUCUUGACGGUACCUAAUCAGAAAGCCACGGCUAACUACGUG
RNAcentral lists this ribosomal RNA (497 nucleotides) under uncultured bacterium. Its description in RNAcentral is "partial 16S ribosomal RNA". It matches the Rfam family "Bacterial small subunit ribosomal RNA", at positions 28 to 507 of the family's 1533-position model. The record is from RNAcentral.